AUGGCCUCCCUCGCCGCCGCCUCCGCCUCCACGGCGCUCCUCUUCCCCUCCACCUCCUCCUCCAAGCCCCGCCUCCCGCUCUCCACAUCCCUUGGCUUCUCCGCGCCCGCGCGGUCACGCCGCGCCACUGCGGUGGCGGGGAGCUCCGGCAGGCGCCCGGGGCUGCUCGUCGUGCGCGCCGCCAGGGGCAAGUUCGAGCGGAACAAGCCCCACGUCAACAUCGGCACCAUCGGCCACGUCGACCACGGCAAGACCACCCUCACCGCCGCGCUCACCAUGGUGCUCGCCUCCGUCGGGGGCAGCGCGCCCAAGAAGUACGACGAGAUCGACGCCGCCCCUGAGGAGCGCGCCCGUGGUAUCACCAUCAACACCGCCACCGUCGAGUACGAGACGGAGACGCGCCACUACGCGCACGUCGACUGCCCCGGUCACGCCGACUACGUCAAGAACAUGAUUACCGGGGCCGCCCAGAUGGACGGCGCCAUCCUCGUCGUCUCCGGCGCCGACGGCCCCAUGCCGCAGACCAAGGAGCACAUCCUGCUCGCCAAGCAGGUCGGUGUCCCCAGCAUUGUUGUUUUCCUCAACAAGAAGGACCAGGUCGACGACGAGGAGCUGCUCGAGCUCGUCGAUCUCGAGGUCCGCGAGCUGCUCACGGCCUAUGAAUACGAUGGUGACAAUGUGCCAAUCGUCUCCGGCUCUGCACUCAGAGCGCUCGAGGCCCUCAUGGCCACCCCUGGCCUCAAGCGUGGGGAUAACGAGUGGGUGGAUGGCAUCUUCUCCUUGAUUGAUUCCGUGGAUACCCACAUCCCUGUCCCGCAGAGGCAGACCGACCUCCCCUUCUUGCUCGCUGUUGAGGAUGUUUUCUCCAUCACUGGUCGUGGUACAGUUGCCACUGGCCGUAUCGAGCGUGGCACCGUCAAGGUUGGGGACCCAGUCGACCUCGUCGGCAUCAGGGAGACCCGCAAUGCCACGGUCACUGGUGUUGAGAUGUUCCAGAAGACCAUGGAUGAUGCCAUUGCUGGGGACAAUGUUGGGCUUCUGCUCCGUGGUAUGCAGAAGGAAGACAUUGAGAGAGGCAUGGUGUUGGCAAAGCCCGGUUCCAUCACGCCACACACCAAGUUUGAGGCUGUUGUGUAUGUGCUCAAGAAGGAGGAGGGUGGCCGGCACUCCCCAUUUUUCCCUGGUUACCGUCCGCAAUUCUACAUGCGGACUACUGAUGUCACGGGGAAUGUGACAAACAUUAUGAACGACAAGGAUGAGGAGGCGAAGAUGUGCAUGCCAGGUGACCGUAUCAAGAUGGUUGUGGAGCUCAUCCAGCCUGUGGCUUGUGAGCAGGGAAUGAGGUUUGCCAUCCGUGAAGGUGGCAAGACCGUCGGUGCCGGUGUCAUCAAUAAUAUCAUUCAGUAA
RNAcentral lists this ribosomal RNA (1407 nucleotides) under Triticum aestivum (bread wheat). Its description in RNAcentral is "partial small subunit ribosomal RNA". The record is from RNAcentral. Lineage: Eukaryota; Viridiplantae; Streptophyta; Magnoliopsida; Poales; Poaceae.